UUCCAUAUAUAUUGAAUAGGUUAGGGUAUACUAAUAGU
RNAcentral lists this small RNA (38 nucleotides) under Chaetoceros curvisetus. RNAcentral describes it as "partial Mitochondrion-encoded tmRNA". The record is from RNAcentral. Lineage: Eukaryota; Bacillariophyta; Thalassiosirophyceae; Chaetocerotales; Chaetocerotaceae.